CCUUUCCGCUCGCUGGGUCGCUUUUUGGCUCCAGAGCCCUUGCCUUCUUCCCUCUCACAGAACCAGUCCAAAACCCUAAACCUCAGUCUCUUCUCUCCUCCUCUCUAAUGGACAAGAAGCCGAGUUCUUGGAUUUCUCACAUUGAAGCCUUCGUCGAUUCCUCGCGCCCUCCCAAACAGCAGGCUGCAAAUGUUGAUGCUAUUGCUGCAUUGGUGAAGAAUGACCUCUUAACUCUCGAGGCAUUGGUAAGAGAUAUGGAACUGUAUCUAACCACCUCGGAUCAUUCUAUUCGUGCGAGAGGUAUCCUUCUCUUAGCAGAAAUUCUUAACUGUCUCAUGUCAAAACCAUUAGAUGGUGCCAGUAUAAGUAGCUUGGUAGAGUUCUUUACGUCAAAGCUGGCAGAUUGGCAAGUCUUACGUGGAGCACUUAUCGGUUGCUUGGCUCUUCUGAGAAGGAAGAAAAAUGUUGGUAUGGUCAAAAGUAGUGAAGCAAGGGCAGUUGCUGAGUCUUAUUUAAUGAACGUACAAGUACAGUCGCUAGCAGUUCAUGAUCGUAAGUUAUGCUUUGAAGUUCUUCAGUGCCUAUUGGAGGUCUACCCAGAAGCUGUUGAGAUGCUGGGUGAUGACCUUGUUUAUGGAAUAUGUGAAGCAAUUGAUGAAGAAAAGGAUCCUCGAUGCUUGAUGCUAACUUUUCAUCUAGUGGAAAUCCUGGCACGAGUAUUUCCUGAUUCAUCUGGUUCAGUUGCAAGUUUUGCAGGGGAUCUUUUUGAUAUUUUAAGUAGAUAUUUUCCUAUAUAUUUUACACAUCCAAGAAGUGAUGAUUUAGACAUUACAAGGGAAGAGCUUUCUAUGGCACUUAUGCAUGCCUUCUGUUCAACUCCAUUUUUUGAGCCAUUUGCGAUCCCACUGCUGCUUGAGAAACUUUCCUCUUCUCUUCCAUUAGCUAAGCUUGAUUCUUUGAAGUAUCUUAACAAUUGCAUACAGCACUAUGGAACUGAUAGAAUGAUCAAGCAUGCUAAAGCUAUUUGGUCUAAUUUAAAAGAUGUGAUCUUGAACCAUUCACCACACAAAACUCUAUUUUCGACUUCAGAGUUGGCUGGAAAUAUGGAAUCUGAGGAAAAUCAGAUUGCAAAAGAAGCUCUAAUUUGUCUGCAAACAGCUAUUUUGCAUUUAGACUCUUUAGAGAAAAAUCCUAUUCUGAGUUUUAUUGUUGAAGAUGAAGAUAUUGAGAUGAAGUUUGGGCUUGUUAGCAAUGAAGGAACUGGUACAGGCAUAUCCAUUGAAAGUCGACGCCAUCUGAGUGCUGUUGGAAAUAUCUUAUCAGUCUCAUCAAAAGCCUCCAUGUCUGGCUGCACAAGGGUAUUUCAAAAAUUUUUUCCUCGCUUGAUGAAUAUUUUGGAAAUUUCUGCAAGCAGCUCAUCUAAUGGUUGCAAUACAAACAAUGGAACUAGUAGCUUGAAUUUUGGAGCGCUUUAUCUCUGCAUUCAACUCCUUGCUUCAUUUAGGGAAUUGAUAUUGACUUCUCAAGACUUCUCACCUCAAGUUAUUACAGUGCAAGAUGGCUGGUGGUGCAUGCUCCAACAUUUCUCUGGUCCAUUAGCUCAUGCUCUUGGAUCAGCUUUGAUGGGAGCUAGGAGCUCUGAACUUGUGAAUAACAACACUGGACAUGAACAUGCCAUUUAUGAGGUAAAGGGCUUGCAGGUACUUGCAACAUUUCCAGGUUGCUACUUGCCUACAUCUGAGGAUGUUUAUGAAUAUAUCUUGGUGAUUUUCAUGUCAAUAGCCACUGAAAGGUUUGAAGAUGCAUUCUUGUGGAAAUUAUCGGUGAAGGCAUUGAUCGAAAUUGGUUCAUUUAUUGAAAAAUAUCAUGAUUCUUAUAGAGGAAUAAGCUUUAACAGAAUUGUUGUUGAAAGGAUUGUUUCUUUGUUUCAACAAGAUGAUUCUACCAUGCCUCUUGCACUAAAACUGGAUGCAAUUUCUGAAAUUGGUACUAUUGGGGUAGAUUACAUGUCAAGAGUAAUUAAAUUGCUUGAAGAAGCUAUUCUUUCCAAAUUUUUGGCUGUCUGCGUCGAAGGACGUCUUGAAGCUGCUGAGAUUUUAGUGCCUCUGCUUGAGUGCUACUCCAAUCGGGUGCUUCUGUGGUGCUACACUUCUGGUAAUUUUGAUGAAGUUGCAAUGCAGUUUGCUCUCUGUAUCUGGAACCAAAUGGAAAGCAUCACUAUUUUUGACAAAGAUGCAAAAAUUCAGGAUCUUUUUGAUAGAAUGAUGACGACAAUGAAGCUUCUAGUUGGGGGUUGUGCUGAGGAAAAUCAAUCCUUGAUCGUGCGGAAAGCCUAUAGUGUUCUUUUAUCUACGAGCUUUCUUUCAGAGGAGUCAUUGCCAUUUUCUUCAUCCAAGUUAGAAGGGUUACAAGUAACUCCAGAUUUAGUUAACCUAUCAUGGAGAGAUGAAUGGAUUGUAUCUCUCUUUGCAUCAGUAGUGAUAGCGCUUCUUCCACAAACACCUCUGCCAGAUGUAAAAUUGUUAUUGAAUGUGCUUACGACUUUCCUACUCAAAGGACAUCUGCCAGCAGCUCAAGCAUUGGCUUCUAUGGUUAACAAAUGGCAUGUAAAUAUUGAUAAAUCAGAAGUGCCAAAUGCUUAUACAUUGGAUGAAGCAAUUGAAAUGAUUCUUGAGAGGAGUUUAUUGAGUGUCCAAAGCAGUAGUAAUUUGGGAAAGUCUGAUCUCCUGAACAAGGAUGAGAGAAUGCUUAGUUGUUUAUGUCUCUUAAACAACAACAGUUCUUUUCAGAGUAAUGCAGUGGUUGGAUUGGCAUGGAUUGGAAAAGGUCUGCUUAUGAGAGGACAUGAAAAAGUAAAGGAAAUAGCAAUGCUUUUGUUACAAUAUUUGCUUUCAAAUCCAUAUAAGGAAUUACACUCUGAUGCAUCUGGAAGUGGUGAUAGCCUGGAUGUGCAUACUUCUCUAGCAACAUCUGCAGCAGAUGCAUUCCAUGUAAUUCUGAGUGAUUCAGAAGUUUGCUUGAAUAAAAAUUUCCAUGCAAUGAUAAGACCACUUUAUAAACAACGUUUCUUCUCAAGCAUGAUGCCUGUCCUGCUCUCAUCAAUCAAACAAUCUUGCUCGUCAAGUAUGAGAGUGGCAUUAUAUCGAGCUUUUGCGCAUGUUAUAUCGGAUGCUCCACUAGCUGCAGUAGUUGCUGAAGCCAAGAAGAUCCUACCUUCAUUGAUGGAUAGCUUAGCCAUGUUAAGUGAGGAUGUUCUGAAUAAAGAUCUAAUAUACAGCCUGCUGCUGGUCCUAUCUGGGAUCCUGAUGGAUGAUAAUGGAAAAGAAGCCAUCAUAGAGAACAUCAAUACUGUUAUAAGUGACCUCAUCAGACUGAUUUUCUAUCCCCAUAUGAUGCUUGUUCGGGAGACAGCAAUUCAAUGUCUUGUAGCCAUGUCAGCCCUUCCUCAUGCAAGGAUCUAUCCUAUGAGGCCUCAGGUCCUGCGUGCUGUAUCAAAAGCUCUUGAUGAUCGGAAAAGGGUUGUCCGUCAAGAGGCUGUGAGAUGUCGUCAAGCAUGGGUAUCGAUGGCAUGAAGAAUUCUGCAUUUUUGUGGAAAUUGGAACUCAAAGCUGUUCCAGGGUUGAGAAUGGCGUAAACCAGGUUUUUCUUUAUGAUACGAUCUUACAAUUCAAAAAGGGUAUAAUUCUGAUAUUCAACCAUUUGUUCACUGAAAAUUAGAACACAUCCCUGGAAAACAGGAGAAAAGUAAAUUGGUACGGGCCUGGGGAAAAAUGUUGAACGCAAACAAAGAAAAUGAAGACAGAGAGGAAUAAAGAGGAGAAAUAUGGCACAUGAUCUGAAGACCCAAUCUGCAUGGCCCAUCCACGACCCCUAUAAAGAUGUGCUGGUUGGUCAGGCCAAAAAACCUAGCAUGAUUCCCCUUGUAUAUGACUCUUCUUACUAUAGUUAUUUGCGCAUUCAUUGUUGGCCUCGAAAAUGCAUGUCACCGUCCGUGAAAUUGGGACUGAAAGUACUUCAAAAACAGAUCAAAUGGCAGUUCCGUACAUGACAAAAACUAGAAUAGAUCAAAUUGUCAACAACAACAAUAAUGUGCAAGUGUCAUGCAAUCUUCAUGAGCAUCGAGUUUAAAACAUCAGGACUAAUCUGUAUCAAUUAUUCAGAAUACAUGUCAUUGUUGUGGUAUUUGAUGUGUAUCUGGAACUCAUUUGUGCCAAUAUGAUGACUAUGCUUUUGAUUUGAGAAAAUAGAUCUUUUAGCACAAAAAUAAAA
Molecule: non-coding RNA, 4269 nt
Organism: Elaeis guineensis (African oil palm)
Lineage: Eukaryota; Viridiplantae; Streptophyta; Magnoliopsida; Arecales; Arecaceae
Source: RefSeq, a predicted model, not a curated record